This 497-nucleotide ribosomal RNA is filed under the name uncultured bacterium. RNAcentral describes it as "partial 16S ribosomal RNA". It matches the Rfam family "Bacterial small subunit ribosomal RNA", at positions 28 to 507 of the family's 1533-position model. The record is from RNAcentral.
GAUGAACGCUGGCGGCGUGCCUAAUACAUGCAAGUCGAGCGAAGGGACGAGAAUCGCGCUUUUCUGUUGUUAGCGGCGGAUGGGUGAGUAAUACGUGAAUAACCUACCUAUAAGACUUGGCUAACGUCGGGAAACCGUAGUUAUUACCGGAUAAUAUGUUGAACCGCAUGGUUCAAGAGUGAAAGAUGGUCUUGCUGUCGCUUAUAGAUCGAUCCGCGCUGCAGUGGCUAGUUGGUCAGGUAACGGCUUACCAAGUAAACGAUGGAUAGCCGACCUGGGAGGGUGAUAGGCCCCCUUGGAGGUGGAACACGGUCCAGGCUCCUACGGGACGCAGCAGUAGGGAAUCUUCGGCAGUGGGGGAAAACAUGGCGCAGCAACGCCGCGUGAGUGGCGGAGGUCCUGGGAUCGUAAAACUCUGUUAUUAGGGAAGAACAUCUGUGUAAGUAGCUGUGCCCAUCGUGACGGUAGCUACUCAGAAAGCAACGGCUAACUACGUG